GUAGGGCUUGAAAAAGCCAUCCUUAGCAUAGGGCUUAGAAAAGCCAAUAUUGAUCUUUGCUUGGAAAUGGUAGAUCUUGAGGUGAGUUCAUUCCCUUGGUGGUCACCGUAAGAGUGUGGUUUUGAUUGUUACAUUCAUUAGGGGUUAGUGUUGAAAUACACUUGGUUCUUAAUCUUGUAAUAAUCUUGGUCUCACUAUCUAUCUUUAUUUUCU
This 213-nucleotide long non-coding RNA is filed under the name Capsicum annuum. RNAcentral's name for it is "long non-coding RNA (CANN_LNC001127)". The record is from RNAcentral. Lineage: Eukaryota; Viridiplantae; Streptophyta; Magnoliopsida; Solanales; Solanaceae.